AAUUAACGCUGGCGGCAUGCCUAACACAUGCAAGUCGCACGAGAAAGCCCGGUUCGCCGGGCGAGUAAAGUGGCGCACGGGUGAGUAACGCGUGGAUAAUCUACCUCAUUCUGGGGGAUAACGCACCGAAAGGUGCGCUAAUACCGCAUAACCCGGUUGAUUUUCGGAUUGACCGGUAAAGGUGGCCUCUUGAUCAAAGCUACCGGGAAGAGAUGAGUCCGCGUCCCAUUAGCUAGUUGGUGGGGUAAUGGCCUACCAAGGCGACGAUGGGUAGCUGGUCUGAGAGGACGAUCAGCCACACUGGAACUGGAACACGGUCCAGACUCCUACGGGUGGCUG
RNAcentral lists this ribosomal RNA (339 nucleotides) under uncultured Pseudomonadota bacterium. Its description in RNAcentral is "bacterial SSU rRNA". It matches the Rfam family "Bacterial small subunit ribosomal RNA", at positions 29 to 351 of the family's 1533-position model. Lineage: Bacteria; Pseudomonadati; Pseudomonadota. The record is from RNAcentral.